GUAGGUGAACCUGCGGAAGGAUCAUUAAUGAGAACAUGCCCUUUUGGGGUAGAUCUCCCACCCUUUGUUUAUUAUACCUUCAUUGCUUUGGUGGGCCCGUCUCACGACCGCUGGCUUUAGCUAGUCAGUGCCCACCAGAGGACCUUUAAAAAUUCUUAAUUAUAUGUCGUCUGAGUACUAUAAAAUAGUUAAAACUUUCAACAACGGAUCUCUUGGUUCUGGCAUCGAUGAAGAACGCAGCAUCUGACUG
Molecule: unclassified non-coding RNA, 250 nt
Filed under: plant metagenome
Description: partial contains small subunit ribosomal RNA, internal transcribed spacer 1, and 5.8S ribosomal RNA
Rfam family: 5.8S ribosomal RNA (bases 193-250)
Source: RNAcentral